RNAcentral lists this ribosomal RNA (1946 nucleotides) under oral metagenome. RNAcentral's name for it is "bacterial LSU rRNA". It matches the Rfam family "Bacterial large subunit ribosomal RNA", at positions 276 to 1990 of the family's 2925-position model. The record is from RNAcentral.
CUUUAAAAUAAGUGUAAAAGUGGGUGCAGGGGGGGUUGUAGGGUCAGCAAAAAUGAUUUGUAAUUAGAUAGAAGAACAGGUUGGAAAGCCAGACCAAAGAAGGUGAAAGUCCUGUAUUUAAAAUCGAAAGCAACAUGGCUGAUACCUGAGUAGGACGGGACACGUGAAACCCUGUCUGAAUCCGGGAGGACCAUCUCCCAAGGCUAAAUACUACCUGGUGACCGAUAGUGAACAAGUACCGUGAGGGAAAGGUGAAAAGAACUCCAGUGCGGAGAGUGAAACAGAACCUGAAACCGUAUGCCUGCAAGCAGUUGGAGCCCUGCACCCACUUUAAAAGUGGAGGAUUAAAAUGCACUAUGUAUAUUUGUUAGCAAAUAACAAGGGAAAAACAUAGAUUGGAAACACAAGCGAUUUAAAACGAAGAUACAAUGAGCAUAUGAAUAAAGAAGUUUAUAGUACAAGAAAUUCUGAAUAUAAGCUGGUGUAUUAUGAAGCAUAUGCAAGUAAAAAAGAUGCUAUAAGACGAGAAAAACGUCUUAAAGAUGGCAGAGCAAAUAAUGAAGUUAAAAAGCGUGUGCAAGAAAGAAUAAAAGAAAUCUUCCAAGUUUAAAGUGGGUGCAGGGUGACAGCGUGCCUUUUGCAUAAUGAGCCAGCGAGUUAUGAUAUGCAGCAAGGUUAAGCCGAGAGGUGUAGCCGUAGCGAAAGCGAGUCUUAAGAGGGCGUAAGUUGUAUGUUGUAGACCCGAAACCGAAGUGAUCUAGCUAUGGGCAGGUUGAAGCGAGAGUAAAAUCUCGUGGAGGACCGAACCGAUACUGGUUGAAAACAGUUCGGAUGACCUGUGGCUAGGGGUGAAAGGCCAAACAAACUCGGAGAUAGCUGGUUCUCCCCGAAAUAUAUUUAGGUAUAGCCUUGCGUAAUUGACUAACGGAGGUAGAGCACUGAAUGGGCUAGGGGUCUCACCGGAUUACCAACCCCAAUCAAACUCCGAAUGCCGUAUAGUUGUAUCGCAGGAGUCAGAUGCCCAGACAACCAGGAGGUUGGCUUAGAAGCAGCCAUCCUUUAAAGAAAGCGUAAUAGCUCACUGGUCGAGUGAGUCUGCGCGGAAAAUGUAUCGGGUCUAAGCAUGAUACCGAAGCCGCGGCUUGUAUCGAAAGAUACAGGGGUAGGGGAGUAUUGUAUACGGGCAGAAGUUAAACCGUGAGGUUUAUUGGACUGUAUAUAAGAGCAGAUGCUGGCAUGAGUAGCGAUAAAGCAGGUGAAAAACCUGCUCGCCGAAAAUCUAAGGUUUCCUGAGUAAAGCUAAUCUUCUCAGGGUUAGUCGAUACCCUAAGCCAAGGCUGAAGAGCGUAGGCGAUGGGAAACAGGUUAAAAAUCCUGUACCACCGUAAAAUCGAUUGAGUGAUGUGGUGACGCAGAAGGGCAGAUGAUCCGUCUGUUGGAAAAGGCGGUGUAAGCAUGUAGGGAGAAAGAGCAGGCAAAUCCGUUCUUUUAAAAUCCUGAGAUGUGAUGCCGAGGGCGUAAGUCCGUAAAGUCAUUAAUCCCAUACUGCCAAGAAAAACCUCUAGCGAGAUUUUAAGGUGAUCGUACCGCAAACCAACACAGGUAGAAAGGGUGAGAAUCCUAAGGCGCUUGAGAGAACCCUGGUUAAGGAACUCGGCAAAAUAAUACCGUAACCUAGGGAGAAGGUAUGCCCGAAGUACGUGAAAGAUUUUACAUCAGGAGCGGAACCGGGUCGCAGAGAAAAGGUGGCAGCGACUGUUUACUAAAAACACAGGACUCUGCAAAGUCGUAAGACGAGGUAUAGGGUCUGACGCCUGCCCGGUGCCGGAAGGUUAAGGGGAUGUGUGAGGGCAACCGAAGCAUUGAACCGAAGCCCCGGUAAACGGCGGCCGUAACUAUAACGGUCCUAAGGUAGCGAAAUUCCUUGUCGGGUAAGUUCCGACCUG